GCAAGUACCAUUGUUCUUUCGUCUUUCUCAUAUCUCUACUACUUGCUCUCAUACUUUACUCUGUUUUAUUUACGAUGAAUUAGUUUAUCAGCUACCCUUUCUCCUAAUUUCUUCUCCAAAGGAAAACAUGAAGAAAAAUAAGGAUGAAGUGAGAGAGAAGUUCAUCCAAGGAGUACUCCACCAGACUCCAUACAUGUGUCAUUGGAUGAAGAGUUUGGAAUCAUGGUUGAAAACCUUGGAAGGAAGGGAAAAUUUGUUAAUGGUGUAGGUGUUUUUCCUCGUAUGGAUACCUCUGGUUGCAUUCUUCUAUAACUUUAAGUUUCAAGUUAAAUGAUAUGAGAUAUCAGAUCAAGCUUUUGUUAGAUGGUUUCCUCAAAUUGCAACAUGAGAAUGAAUAACCGAGAGCUCUAUUGGGUUUACAUAAUGAUGAUGAAAGUAUGUUCACAAAACUCAAUGUGUUUUUUGCUGCAAGUCAAGGGAGGACCAACAACUAUACAGAAUCUGAUGGUGAUAUUUUCAGAGGGUGAAAAUACUUAUCCUAAGCUAGAAGAACAUGAUUUGGAAGAGUACUGAUGUUGAUAUUAUGUCUUUUACGGUUAGUUUCAAGUAUGCACAUGGUACACUUCUUUUGUUAGCACCUAAAUGUGCCUUGGGCUUCUCUUUUGUUAAUACCAAAGCUGUCUAUAUAUAGGUGUUAGUGCCCUUCAUUAUUCUGGGUUAGACUUGU
This is a non-coding RNA of Malus domestica (apple), 727 nucleotides long. The record is from RefSeq and is a predicted model, not a curated record. Lineage: Eukaryota; Viridiplantae; Streptophyta; Magnoliopsida; Rosales; Rosaceae.